CAAAGGCAUGGUCCUGACCUUAUUAUCAGCUCUUACCCGACUUACACAUGCAAGUCUCCGCAAUCCCGUGAGUAUGCCCUCAAUCCCCUGCCCGGGGACGAGGAGCGGGCAUCAGACACAAAUUUUAGCCCAAGACGCCUGGCCAAGCCACACCCCCAAGGGAAUUCAGCAGUGAUAAACAUUAAGCCAUAAGUGAAAACUUGACUCAGUCAAGGUAAAGAGGGCCGGUAAAACUCGUGCCAGCCACCGCGGUUAAACGAGAGGCCCUAGUUGAUAAAACCACGGCGUAAAGGGUGGUUAAGGAAAGCAAACAAAUUAAAGCCAAAUGGCCCUUUGGCCGUCAUACGCUUCUAGGUGUCCGAAGCCCAAUUAUACGAAAGUAGCUUUAUUAAAGCCCACC
RNAcentral lists this ribosomal RNA (400 nucleotides) under Hypophthalmichthys molitrix (silver carp). Its description in RNAcentral is "partial 12S ribosomal RNA". Lineage: Eukaryota; Metazoa; Chordata; Actinopteri; Cypriniformes; Xenocyprididae. The record is from RNAcentral.